AGCUGUUUCAGCAGCACAUAUACUAAAAUUGGAAUGAUACAGAGAAUAUUAUCAUUACCCCUGCCCAAGGAUGACACGCAAAUUUGUGAACCUUUCCAUAUUAAA
Molecule: small nuclear RNA, 105 nt
Organism: Molossus molossus (Pallas's mastiff bat)
Lineage: Eukaryota; Metazoa; Chordata; Mammalia; Chiroptera; Molossidae
Source: RefSeq, a predicted model, not a curated record